UACGUAGGCAGCGAGCGUUGUUCGGAGUUACUGGGCGUAAAGCGUGCGCAGGCGGUUUUGUAAGCCAGAUGUGAAAUCCCCGGGCUUAACCUGGGAAUGGCAUUUGGGACUGCAAGGCUUGAGUGCGGCAGAGGAGACUAGAAUUCCUGGUGUAGCAGUGAAAUGCGUAGAUAUCAGGAGGAAUACCGAUGGCGAAGGCAGGUCUCUGGGCUGACACUGACGCUCAUGCACGAAAGCGUGGGGAGCAAACAGG
This 253-nucleotide ribosomal RNA is filed under the name uncultured bacterium. RNAcentral's name for it is "partial 16S ribosomal RNA". It matches the Rfam family "Bacterial small subunit ribosomal RNA", at positions 524 to 776 of the family's 1533-position model. The record is from RNAcentral.